This 253-nucleotide ribosomal RNA is filed under the name uncultured bacterium. RNAcentral describes it as "partial 16S ribosomal RNA". It matches the Rfam family "Bacterial small subunit ribosomal RNA", at positions 524 to 776 of the family's 1533-position model. The record is from RNAcentral.
UACGAGGGGAGCAAGCGUUGUUCGGAAUUACUGGGCGUAAAGGGCUCGUAGGCGGCCAACUAAGUCAGACGUGAAAUCCCUCAGCUUAACUGGGGAACUGCGUCUGAUACUGGAUGGCUUGGAUUCGGGAGAGGAAUGCGGAAUUCCAGGUGUAGCGGUGAAAUGCGUAGAUAUCUGGAGGAACACCGGUGGCGAAGGCGGCGUCCUGGACCAACACUGACACUGAGGAGCGAAAGCCAGGGGAGCAAACGGG